GUUGAGACACUUGACAUGGACUUAGGGAUAGGUGGACUUUCGAGUGUUUGUUAACCCUAGUUGACAGGAUAUCCUCAGUUGGCGAGGAUUGGAUCAUACUCACAUAGUCUGUUUUGAGCUUGUGGUGGUCGCUCCACACAAGCAGUGCACUCCGGAGUUGUCACACGAGCGGGGUAGCUCAUCGGGUGGGAUACGAGCGGGGUAGCUCCUCACCCAUUGGACUGGGACGUGAGUUGGGGUGAAGGGCGGGGUAGCCUUUCCCCUAUGAGAUUGAGCGGGGCAGCUCAUUAUCUAUGAGAUUAGAGCGGGGUAGCUCUUCAUCUAUGACCUUUGAGAUGCGAGACGGGUGAGAUAAGAGCGGGGUAGCUCCUCACCUAUGAGAUUUGAGAUAUCAGUCGGGGCGAAGAGCGGGGUAGCUCUUUACCUCUUCACCUACUAGAUUGUGGUGUGAGUACCUAUGAGAUUUGAGAUCUUAGGCGGGGUAGCCUAGUGGAUUGG
This 498-nucleotide long non-coding RNA is filed under the name Ananas comosus (pineapple). Its description in RNAcentral is "long non-coding RNA (ACOM_LNC015049)". Lineage: Eukaryota; Viridiplantae; Streptophyta; Magnoliopsida; Poales; Bromeliaceae. The record is from RNAcentral.